This 244-nucleotide unclassified non-coding RNA is filed under the name Hevea brasiliensis (rubber tree). Lineage: Eukaryota; Viridiplantae; Streptophyta; Magnoliopsida; Malpighiales; Euphorbiaceae. The record is from RNAcentral.
UACAAUAUUCAUGCCAUAACAUGUGGUCUAUUGAGAGGAAAAAGAAGCCUCCACAUCUACCUCAAGGAAUAAACAACUUUAUUCGCUACAUGAGGUAAAAUACUUCAGUGAAACAGCAAACAAACNNNNNNNAUGGCAAGAGAAACAAAUUCUUUUCCAAUGCCCUAUGCCCCAACAACAAAAAGGGCUUCGGGUUGCCUCUUGAGGAAGUCCUUAGUAACUCUAACAACAUGACACAUCUUCC